This 468-nucleotide ribosomal RNA is filed under the name uncultured bacterium. RNAcentral's name for it is "partial 16S ribosomal RNA". It matches the Rfam family "Bacterial small subunit ribosomal RNA", at positions 28 to 507 of the family's 1533-position model. The record is from RNAcentral.
GACGAACGCUGGCGGCGUGCUUAACACAUGCAAGUCGAACGGAAAGGCCCUGCUUUUGUGGGGUGCUCGAGUGGCGAACGGGUGAGUAACACGUGAGUAACCUGCCCUUGACUUUGGGAUAACUUCAGGAAACUGGGGCUAAUACCGGAUAGGAGCUCCUGCUGCAUGGUGGGGGUUGGAAAGUUUCGGCGGUUGGGGAUGGACUCGCGGCUUAUCAGCUUGUUGGUGGGGUAGUGGCUUACCAAGGCUUUGACGGGUAGCCGGCCUGAGAGGGUGACCGGCCACAUUGGGACUGAGAUACGGCCCAGACUCCUACGGGAGGCAGCAGUGGGGAAUAUUGCACAAUGGGCGAAAGCCUGAUGCAGCAACGCCGCGUGCGGAAUGACGGCCUUCGGGUUGUAAACCGCUUUCGCCUGUGACGAAGCGUGAGUGACGGUAAUGGGUAAAGAAGCACCGGCUAACUACGUG